CGCUGGCGGCGCGCUUAACACAUGCAAGUCGAGCGAUGAAAUCUUGACAGAUCCCUUCGGGGGUGAAGAUAAGAUGGAUUAGCGGCGGACGGGUGAGUAACACGUGAGUAACCUGCCUUAGACAUUGGGAUAGCCUCGGGAAACCGGGAUUAAUACCAAAUGAAAUCAUAGGUGCCCAUGCACUAAUGAUCAAAACUCCGGUGGUCUAAGAUGGACUCGCGUCCCAUUAGCUAGUUGGUGAGGUAACGGCCCACCAAGGCGACGAUGGGUAGCCGGCCUGAGAGGGUGAACGGCCACAUUGGAACUGAGAAACGGUCCAAACUCCUACGGGAGGCAGCAGUGGGGAAUAUUGCACAAUGGAGGGAACUCUGAUGCAGCGACGCCGCGUGAACGAUGAAGGCUUUCGAGUCGUGAAGUUCUUUUAUAUGGGAAGAUAAUGACGGUACCAUAAGAAAAAGCCCCGGCUAACUACGUGCCAGCAGCCGCGGUAAUACGUAGGGGGCUAGCGUUGUCCGGAAUCACUGGGCGUAAAGGGUUCGCAGGCGGAAAUGCAAGUCAGAUGUAAAAGGCAGUAGCUUAACUACUGUAAGCAUUUGAAACUGCAUAUCUUGAGAAGAGUAGAGGUAAGUGGAAUUUUUAGUGUAGCGGUGAAAUGCGUAGAUAUUAAAAAGAAUACCGGUGGCGAAGGCGACUUACUGGGCUCAUUCUGACGCUGAGGAACGAAAGCGUGGGUAGCAAACAGGAUUAGAUACCCUGGUAGUCCACGCUGUAAACGAUGAGUGCUAGGUAUCGGAAUAAUUCGGUGCCGCAGUUAACACAUUAAGCACUCCGCCUGGGGAGUACGUGCGCAAGCAUG
Molecule: ribosomal RNA, 856 nt
Filed under: uncultured Clostridia bacterium
Lineage: Bacteria; Bacillati; Bacillota; Clostridia
Description: bacterial SSU rRNA
Rfam family: Bacterial small subunit ribosomal RNA
Source: RNAcentral